GUUAUUAUUACGUUUAUGGAUAAGUAACAACGUAUUUUUAAGGGAGAAUUUAGUUUGCAGAAGUAAACGACACUCUGUGGACUUGUCCUUGGAUAAGGUGGAAUAUGGAUGUUAAAAAAAGGUAUUUACUCUUCUUGCAGAUAACACAACAACCAGUUUCACUCACAUUUAUGGGAUUACUUGAUGUCAAUUAUCAACUACCUUUAAAGAUGUUUAGAAUAAUUUGGGCUUUUGCUUCGUGUUAUCUUAAUAGUCG
Long non-coding RNA from Aethina tumida (small hive beetle), 256 nucleotides. RefSeq lists it as uncharacterized. NCBI's taxonomy places the organism in Eukaryota, Metazoa, Arthropoda, Insecta, Coleoptera, Nitidulidae. The transcript has 3 exons. The record is from RefSeq and is a predicted model, not a curated record.